Melospiza melodia melodia is the source of this 273-nucleotide long non-coding RNA. RefSeq lists it as uncharacterized. Lineage: Eukaryota; Metazoa; Chordata; Aves; Passeriformes; Passerellidae. The record is from RefSeq and is a predicted model, not a curated record. The transcript has 3 exons.
GGAGAGCGGACACAAGUGUGGGAAGCCGUGGAGGAUAUCGAGCUUUUCCCCGGGUCCUUCAGCUGAGCCGCACCUCCAAGAUGAUGAGUUAUUAUAUGGACACAGCCAUCAGCAGUGCAGCUCCUUAUGCUUUGGCUCGGCCUGGAAUGAUGAAACAGGGAGUGCCCGUUCCCUGCGAGGAUCCCUGGGUGACCUGUGCCUUCCAGGCCUCCUGCUGCCAGCCCCGGCCCUGCUGCCCGCUCUGGGACGAGCCCGCCACGCAGGAGGUGCCCA